GACGAACGCUGGCGGCGUGCUUAACACAUGCAAGUCGAACGGAAAGGCCCUGCUUUUGUGGGGUGCUCGAGUGGCGAACGGGUGAGUAACACGUGAGUAACCUGCCCUUGACUUUGGGAUAACUUCAGGAGACUGGGGCUAAUACCGGAUAGGAGCUCCUGCUGCAUGGUGGGGGUUGGAAAGUUUCGGCGGUUGGGGAUGGACUCGCGGCUUAUCAGCUUGUUGGUGGGGUAGUGGCUUACCAAGGCUUUGACGGGUAGCCGGCCUGAGAGGGUGACCGGCCACAUUGGGACUGAGAUACGACCCAGACUCCUACGGGAGGCAGCAGUGGGGAAUAUUGCACAAUGGGCGGAAGCCUGAUGCAGCAACGCCGCGUGCGGGAUGACGGCCUUCGGGUUGUAAACCGCUUUCGCCUGUGACGAAGCGUGAGUGACGGUAAUGGGUAAAGAAGCACCGGCUAACUACGUG
Molecule: ribosomal RNA, 468 nt
Filed under: uncultured bacterium
Lineage: Bacteria
Description: partial 16S ribosomal RNA
Rfam family: Bacterial small subunit ribosomal RNA
Source: RNAcentral